Molecule: ribosomal RNA, 252 nt
Filed under: uncultured bacterium
Lineage: Bacteria
Description: partial 16S ribosomal RNA
Rfam family: Bacterial small subunit ribosomal RNA
Source: RNAcentral
UACGUAUGGAGCGAGGGUUGGCCGGCAUUAUUGGGCGUAAAGGGUACGGAGGCGGUUUAAUAAGUCGAAUGUUAAAGAUCGGGGCUCAACCCCGUAAAGCAUUGGAAACUGAUAAACUUGAGUAGUGGAGAGGAAAGUGGAAUUCCUAGGGUAGUGGUGAAAUACGUAGAUAUUAGGAGGAAUACCAGUAGCGAAGGCUGCUUUCUGGCUAUUAACUGACGCUGAGGCGCGAAAGCGUGGGGAGCAAACAGG